RNAcentral lists this long non-coding RNA (296 nucleotides) under Citrus x clementina. RNAcentral describes it as "Citrus clementina (C. clementina) long non-coding RNA (CCLE_LNC001841)". Lineage: Eukaryota; Viridiplantae; Streptophyta; Magnoliopsida; Sapindales; Rutaceae. The record is from RNAcentral.
ACCCUUUCUACCCUACCGCAAUCGAAGAGUUGAGAAUCCCUACGUACACUUCGGGACAAGCCUAGGUCCCCAACAAAGAUAUUUGAUAUUGGUUUGGUGGACAGAGCCUGGGUCGCCAAGCCCAAGCCCCCCGACAAAGAGUAUGGAUCACUAUAUCACAAAAAUUCGUCUUGCUUAGGUUGAAGCAAAUGCCAGUGUAACCUGUGGCUACCUCAGGACUAUCUGACUACACUAUUUGCGUUAAGGCACUGAAGCCGGAGUUUGCUUGGUAGGGGUUAGCUUAUUCCCAGACGAAC